Molecule: ribosomal RNA, 720 nt
Filed under: uncultured fungus
Lineage: Eukaryota; Fungi
Description: SSU rRNA
Rfam family: Eukaryotic small subunit ribosomal RNA
Source: RNAcentral
GAGGCCUACCAUGGUGGUAACGGGUAACGGGGUGUUAGGGCACGACACCGGAGAGGGAGCCUGAGAAACGGCUACCACAUCCAAGGAUGGCAGCAGGCGCGCAAAUUACCCAAUCCCGACACGGGGAGGUAGUGACAAUAAAUAACAAUACGGGGUUCUUUAGGAUCUCGUAAUUGGAAUGAGUACAAUUUAAAUCUCUUAACGAGGAACAAUUGGAGGGCAAGUCUGGUGCCAGCAGCCGCGGUAAUUCCAGCUCCAAUAGCGUAUAUUAAAGUUGUUGCAGUUAAAAAGCUCGUAGUUGAAUUUCGGGGUUAGUAGGUUGGUCAUGCNNNUGAUAUGUACUGGUCUCACUGAUUCCUCCUUCCUUAUGAACCGUAAUGCCAUUAAUUUGGUGUUGCGGGGAAUUUGGACUGUUACUUUGAAAAAAUUAGAGUGUUUAAAGCAAGCUAACGCUUGAAUACAUUAGCAUGGAAUAAUGAAAUAGGACGUUCGAUCUUAUUUUGUUGGUUUCUAGGAUUGACGUAAUGAUUAAUAGGGAUAGUUGGGGGCAUUAGUAUUCAAUUGUCAGAGGUGAAAUUCUUGGAUUUAUUGAAGACUAACUACUGCGAAAGCAUUUGCCAAGGAUGUUUUCAUUAAUCAAGAACGAAAGUUAGGGGAUCGAAGACGAUCAGAUACCGUCGUAGUCUUAACCAUAAACUAUGCCGACUAGGGAUCGGAUGA